This is a long non-coding RNA of Octopus bimaculoides (California two-spot octopus), 355 nucleotides long. The record is from RefSeq and is a predicted model, not a curated record. Lineage: Eukaryota; Metazoa; Mollusca; Cephalopoda; Octopoda; Octopodidae.
AUCUCCCUUACAGCUUGGCGCGCCAAAGGAAAAGAAAAUUAUUUAAAUUGCAUCAUAACUUAUUUGUUUACCAAAGUAGAACUGAGACGACUUCAUGAGUUUAUAAUCUAUCUGCUGUUUGAAGAUCUGAAAGAUUUUCCAUCUUCACUCAGUGUUAUGUUUGAAGGAAAGGAAUUCUAUUUGUGUCUAUCCCGGUUGCCUCCUGUAAGUUUGGCCAAAGACAAGAGUGAUGUCAUUGUAACUAAACCAAGCAUCCCUUUCACAGAACUCUUCCAACCUCUUUUGAUAGACCCUUCACCGACUGACAAGAACCAAUGUGAAACCAAAUAAAAGAGAAUAUUGUUGUUUUUGUUAA